Molecule: ribosomal RNA, 305 nt
Filed under: uncultured bacterium
Lineage: Bacteria
Description: bacterial SSU rRNA
Rfam family: Bacterial small subunit ribosomal RNA
Source: RNAcentral
UGUGCCCUACGGGACGCAGCAGUAGGGAAUUUUCGUCAAUGGGCGCAAGCCUGAACGAGCAAUGCCGCGUGAACGAGGAAGGUCUUCGGAUCGUAAAGUUCUGUUGAAGGGGAAAAACAGCGGAGACAGGAACCGUGCUACUCUUUACCCUCCCCUUCUCUUCCCUCACGGCUAACUACGUGCCAGCAGCCGCGGUAAUACGUAGGUGGCGAGCGUUAUCCGGAAUGAUUGGGCGUAAAGGGUGCGUAGGCGGCCUGCUAAGUCUGGAGUGAAAGAUACCGGCUCAACCGGUACAGGCUCUGGAA